GUCAGGAUGGCCGAGCGGUCUAAGGCGCUGCGUUCAGGUCGCAGUCCGGUCUUUCGGGCGUGGGUUCGAAUCCCACUUCUGACA
RNAcentral lists this transfer RNA (84 nucleotides) under Ixodes scapularis (black-legged tick). RNAcentral describes it as "tRNA-Leu". It matches the Rfam family "tRNA". Rfam says of the family: Transfer RNA (tRNA) molecules are approximately 80 nucleotides in length. Their secondary structure includes four short double-helical elements and three loops (D, anti-codon, and T loops). Further hydrogen bonds mediate the characteristic L-shaped molecular structure. tRNAs have two regions of fundamental functional importance: the anti-codon, which is responsible for specific mRNA codon recognition, and the 3' end, to which the tRNAs corresponding amino acid is attached (by aminoacyl-tRNA synthetases). tRNAs cope with the degeneracy of the genetic code in two manners: having more than one tRNA (with a specific anti-codon) for a particular amino acid; and 'wobble' base-pairing, i.e. permitting non-standard base-pairing at the 3rd anti-codon position. The record is from RNAcentral. Lineage: Eukaryota; Metazoa; Arthropoda; Arachnida; Ixodida; Ixodidae.